GACGAACGCUGGCGGCGUGCUUAACACAUGCAAGUCGAACGGAAAGGCCUUUUCGGAGGUACUCGAGUGGCGAACGGGUGAGUAACACGUGGGUGAUCUGCCCUGCACUCUGGGAUAAGCCUGGGAAACUGGGUCUAAUACCGGAUAGGACCGCACUUUAGUGUGUGUGGUGGAAAGUUUUUUCGGUGUAGGAUGAGCCCGCGGCCUAACAGCUUGUUGGUGGGGUAAUGGCCUACCAAGGCGGCGACGGGUAGCCGGACUGAGAGGUUGGUCGGCCACAUUGGGACUGAGAGACAGCCCAGACUCCUACGGGAGGCAGCAGUAGGGAAAAUUGCACAAUGGGCGCAAGCCUGAUGCAGCGACGCCGCGGGGGGGAGGACGGCCUUCGGGUUGAAAACUCCUUUCGCCAGGGACGAAGCGUUUUGUGACGGUACCUUGAGAAGAAGCACCGGCUAACUACGUG
Molecule: ribosomal RNA, 463 nt
Filed under: uncultured bacterium
Lineage: Bacteria
Description: partial 16S ribosomal RNA
Rfam family: Bacterial small subunit ribosomal RNA
Source: RNAcentral